Canis lupus familiaris (dog) is the source of this 463-nucleotide long non-coding RNA. RefSeq lists it as uncharacterized. The record is from RefSeq and is a predicted model, not a curated record. The transcript has 3 exons. NCBI's taxonomy places the organism in Eukaryota, Metazoa, Chordata, Mammalia, Carnivora, Canidae.
UCUCAGAGAUGAGGACAUAAUCGUGGAGAGUGUGUGUAGCUCGCUCUCAUGGCAGCAGCCAGUCAGGGCAGACCCCAGGUCUCGUGACCCACAAAGUCUAAUACAUAAUGCACCCUCCCUCUGUGUGGCAUUGAUUCUGGCCUUCGUGCUUUGAAGACCAUGAGCCCUGAUGGAAUAGAAGCCAAACAAGAGUUCAGCAGCUGUUUUCAUCUGUUAAAUUUUGCCAUCUGUCUCAGAUCCCAGCGUUUAAUGUCUACUUGAUGUGAAAAGAAAAUGACACCCGAAACACAACAGCCAGAGCAAACCAGAAGUGAAUGUUAAUGAGUGUUACAGGAAGUCGACAGGAAGCCAGAAGUGUGGGUAUGGAAGUGAAAAACUUUUCAAAAAGCACAUCAAGAACAUAGCAGGUGAGGCACGCAGUGAGAGAGAGAGAGGCAGAGACACAGGCAGAGGGAGAAGCAGG